RNAcentral lists this long non-coding RNA (7630 nucleotides) under Cricetulus griseus (Chinese hamster). RNAcentral's name for it is "lncRNA (ENSCGRG00015034543.1)". Lineage: Eukaryota; Metazoa; Chordata; Mammalia; Rodentia; Cricetidae. The record is from RNAcentral.
AUACACACUUCUUCUCCGUUGAUCAAUUAGUCUAUAGUUACCCAGCAAUCAUCACCAUCUACUGAGAGCCAUGUCUGUGCCCAGGGCAGUGCUAAUGCUGUUCUCACAACACUUUUGGUCUUGGCUGAGAAGUAGAAAACACACAGAGAGAACUUGGGUCCUUUGCUUGUGUGCAGUUGGCCCUGGCCCUGGCUGCAUCAAUGUCCUUCUUGCUUUCCCUGAUCCCAGCCUUAGUCACAGUUCAGUGACUCACCCUCCAGGAGCUGUUGGGAAGUACAGAUGUUGAGGCGUGUCCUUUUCUUGCAGGCCGGGACACCGUGCUUCUCCUAUAAGGCAGAAACUGACUUGGCAUUUGAACCAGUUUAAGGCACGAGGAGGAAGUGUUGACACAAAGCAGAUCACAUAUUAGAGACCAUCCCAAGGUCCCUUGUGACCCUUGCAUGUGCUUGUCAUUUUCAAGUUGAGUAGGGUGGUGGGCAGGUUUUUGACCUUGAGUAUGAACUCUGACAUUCUAUCUCUGCCCCACUGUUACUGGGUAUGUGGCUGGCUGGGCAGGAUACUCACUGCCCGCUCUGAAGCUUGACCUCUUCCUUGGCAUAGGGUUUAAAUGAGAUAAUGAUAAGGAGAGGUCUGGUGCCUCACAAAUAUCCAAUAAUUAGACAAAUGGGAUAUAUAUAUAUAUAUAUAUAUAUAUAUAUAUAUAUAUAUACACAUAUAUAUAUUUAAAUAUAAAUAUAAAUAAAUAUAUAUAAAUAAAUGUAGGCUUGGCUUUUGUCAUCAGCUGUCACCAGGACAGAGUUCUUUCUUGGGCUUUCCACCAUCUCUGAUAUCUUCUUCUUUUUCUUUCCUCCUAAGUCCACCCGCAAAUAUGAAACACGUAGACACAAACUCCCUACAGAAAUGCUUGUGAGGGUUGUUAACUCAGCCAUUUUCCAUUAGCAAAAUUAAAUAGUCCAGAGACAUCUGGGAUGCAUGCUUCGGGAGUCUGCUCUGUGCUGGCGCUUUAUUUUCAAGCACGAUGUCCUUGAAAAAAAAAAAAAGGAGGGCUCCUGAGCCUGCUGGGACUUUCUCUGCCCCCUCUCUCAUUUUUGCUCCCGAAAAGCACAGCCGAGGAACACUUGGGUGGGCUGGUAAUGAAAAUAUAACCCUGGCUGGGGACAACUUUCUCUCUGCCAGCUCUCAGGCCUGUGCAAGGAGCCCUGAAUCCCUAGGGCAGGGAUCUGGUCUGGGAGUGGCUCCUGGAACCUUAGUGUGCCAUGGGGGAGGAGCAUCUAGGCUGCACUGGACACCCCGCUGAGAAGGGGUCAUUCGGGUGAAGCCUUUUUCCAUUAGAGGCUUGUAGACAUUUACCCUUGGGUCUCUGCUCUAGCGUUCUCCAUGCCCAGGCAGAUCUGAAGGGCUACAACAGCAUGUGUCAGCUGAGAUAUGACUCAGCUAACAGAGUGGGCCUCCUGGGGCUCUGGAUGAUGCAAAUCCGCCUGGCGAUUCUGCCCUGUGCUCGUGGGAGAGGAGAUGGGAAAACAGGAAAGAUGCUGUCGUCUGAUGAAACCAUUGACCCUCAUCAGCCUCGUGCCUCAACCCUCAGAGGGGCUGCUUCAAGGUUAGCUCUCACAAAUGCACGGGGCUUUUGAGGUCAUCUCCGGUGAGACUUUACAGACCUGGAGUCUGAGGCGCAGCUAGACGAAGCGACGUGCGGAGUGACUGGUUCUUUAGGUGCAAGUUCACCCGCAGCUGUGUGGAAGGGUGGGGAGCACCCAUGCUGUGCCAGGCUCACCCCUGCUUUAUGGUGUCUCAUCAAUCCAGUGGUAAAGGAGAAGUGAACAGCCCUGGGUGCUGUCGGCGUGUUCAUGAAAGGACCAAAAGGAACACCCAUUGUGUAAGCCGAGGUUCGUGGUAACUUCUCCAUGACACUACAGAGUGCUUUCUGUGUUGGACAUAAAGAAUAGCUAACACUUUUUCAAUCUGGUCACGCAGCUUCCUAAGUUUUUGAUAAAGAAGACUUGAGAGGGAAGACUUCUGAGUAAGCCCUGGGAAAAACAGAUCUUCCUGUGUGACAGGGUUUUUGUAAGGCGGAGCUCAGCCACUGACUAGCCAAGACACUCUGAGAGUUCACGUAGCCUCUCUAUGCCUCAGUUUCUUCCGUGGUAAUUUCAGGGUAGCAGAAAUCUCCAUAUCCAAGAUUGCUUUGCAAGUAAAUGAAUUAAGAGAUGAAAUCAUUUAUGAAAGCGCCCAGAAGACAACAAGCAACAUCAUUAUGUUGAGACCAUUAUACUAAUAGAAUAAAAUGAUGAACUAAACAAGGCCUUUCAAAAGGUUUCAUUUACCCAUAGACCCUGCAGACGCCAGACAAAGAAUACAGUGAAGUGAAUGAAAAUAUUCACUCUGUUUAAGACCUUCAGAUUCUGGUAAAGGAAAUACACUAAGAAACAAUCAAUAAUGAUAAAAUCAGUAAAGAAGAUGGAUUCAAGGUUAAUCAUGGUGAUCGUUAAACUUCUGUGUCUGCUUGGCAGGGUCACUGGGUGCCCAGUUGUUUGGUGACCUUACUGUGAAGUUCCCUAAGAGAAUAUGUUGGGAGGAGAUUAGCGUUUGCAUUGAUGGACGGGAGAAGCAGUUUGCUUUUUAACUCAUGGAACCAAAUGAAACCUGAACAGAAUAAAAAGAGAAAAUUCCUCUUGCCUCACUGCCCUGGAAACUGGACACAGGCUUUCCCCUUGCCUUCCAAUCUCAAGAUGAGAAACUGGCUUUUUCUCAGCAUCUUGCCAAAGUCUCAUGUCAGUGACUUGAAUCCCUCGGCCCUCCCCUUAGAAGACAACACAACAGAAUCUGGUUGCCUGGUGAGACAGCAGGUCAAACUAAGGGGUCAACCAGGAGUCAUAUAGAUAGCUCAUUCAGAACACUAGACUCUGAAGGGGAAAGACAGUGUUGGAUACAGGAGGGAGCUGUGACCUCGGGGGAAGGGUGAGAUGUUUUUAAGGCUAGAUGGAAAGGGGAAGUACAGGAAAGGGAGCAUGAAAAGACGAGCAUGGUUGUCAGUGGCAUCUUAAGGUACCCAUGGCAUUGGAAGCCUGGAUCCUUGAUCGGGUUUGUCUGAGACCAGAGGGACCAUGUGACUAGUCUUUUUCUGACCAGGAGGAAAGGCAACAAGGAUAGGAAGGCCCCCAGGUGAUUGAUGGAGACGGUAUCAGAGCAUUGGGAAAUUCCUACUAGACAGCUUCUUGCUCCUCUGAGCAGUGGAUGCCAGGUUAUCUGCUAAUGUGAGGGCCACGGAGUUCAAGCAUGAGAGGCGUGAACAGAAUAUAGGGUAUAGGGAUGUGGGGGAGGGGUCAUGGUGCCCUUGGGGGAAAGGAGGAAGGACUACACUGAAGGGUGGAGGCUUGGACAAUGUCAUGCAUAUGGUCAUGGCUUCCCCAGGAAGAGACUUAGGUGAUGAUAUGAUAUGACUUUUCCUCUCUCCCAGCUUCCUAGCCUGUCACAUAUGAGCAAACUGAGGGCCAGAGAGGACUGUGGUUUCAGAAGCAUGAAGCUGUCAACCAACAGGAAAGCCUGCCACAAAUCUAUCUGGGUUGCCCGGCUCUUGGAUUCUUGGCUAUAAGUUGUGAUGUAUUGUUUAUGAUCUAAUAAAGCCACUGGAGAUGAGUUUGCAAAGCCAGCCACACUAGUUAGCUAUAGAAACUACUUGGUGGAGGCACAUACCUUUCAUCCCAGGGCUCAGGAUUAAGAGGCAGACGAAUCUCUAAGGUUCAAGGCCACCCAGGGCUACAUGAGAUUGAAUCAGUCUAAAAGGGUAACAGAGCUCAUGACUUUAAUCCUAUCAUUAGAGAGGUAUAAAAGAUAGGAGCAGAAUCUACAGUAAUCAGUCUCAGGACUCUCUAACCACGCUGAGGAGAGGCAGCAGGAUCAGCCCUUUCAGCCUGAGGUAGAUGUAAGAGGUAGUGGCUUGGCUGCUUUGCUUUUCUGAUCUUUGGUGGCUUUAUUAGAUCAUAAACAAGGUAUUAUCACAGCUAUAGGCCAUAGAGUGUGAGCAUGGGGCAUUUCUUUGAAAGGGAAAUUGAUGUCAUGACCAGAAAAGCAGAGGACAAUAUUGGAAAGUCAAAUUAAAAUAUCAAAGUACUCAGAUGCCCACUUUAUAGGAGAAUCAAGCUUGUUGAGACAUUGAGAUUUUUGGACUCCUUUCAGGCAAGGACUUCCAAAUGCUGUCCUGGACUCACAGGACACCUGGGGUGCUGGGGCAAACUGACCAAGCAGACUCCAAAAGUCGUGAAUAACCCUGAAAGCCAGCAGCUCUGGGCCCCUCCAUAUCCACCAGGGGUGGUAUCUGACUCACUGUUAGGAGGCUACGAUUUUUGUGGCUUUUGUAUUACUUCAUCUCUAAGAUUCCAAGGGGGGGGGGCUACAAAACCAGUAAUGACAAUUUGCUCUUUAACUCCAUCAUCGUAGUGUAGGGACAGUUAAUGGAUAGUGUAUUUAUCCAUUCAGCUGCCAUAGCAAAAAUACCACAGACUUAGUGGCUUAUAAACAAAAAUUUAAGAGGCUUCCCAUUCUAAAACCAAGAUGUUAGCUGCCCAGUAAGGCAGGCACCUUAAAGUACACCUUCAAAGUGUCUUCCUUCCUCUUGCUUUUCCUGCUAAAACAACUGAGUAUAUGCUCAGGGACAUAAAUAUCCCAAUCUGCUAUUUUUAACCUUUUCAAUGCAUGGCCUUGAGUUUACACACUCUCCAAAGACUCUACUCUUUCCUUCUCAAACUGUGACCAGAAGCUGAGGGUGACCAGGAAUGUGACCUUAACUGAGUAUGCUCAGGGAUGUGCCCAGGUCUGAAAUGGUUCCCCAAAGAAUUUGCAUAGGCUUUCUAAAUAGAAUCCCCAUGACUCCCUUGUUUGAGGACUUCGUUUUGGAAAUGACUCUUGAGCCCUCCUUCGUUCAGGUAAUGCAUCUUUCUCCAGUUGGUUCUUUUGUUUCUUUGUUUUGUUUUGCUUUUUUGGCCAUUGGCUUUGUUCUCCCCUAGAUGUGAGCAUAUAGCCUUAGGUCACAAAGGCUACUAGAAUAAUUAUCUAUUGAGGAUCCCCACCCUCUUUCUGGUUCACAGAUGAAGCAAUCUUUCUCUAAAAAGUUAAUUAAUUUUCAUUGUUUGAGAAUUUUAAUUAAAUCAGCAUUUAGUCACCAACCAAUAAGAGAAACAUGUGUCCACAGCAUACAGAAGGACGUCCCCCAUCAACAGCCUUUUUCUGGGGCACUAAUUCUGUUGCAUUCACGUAACCUCUAUCCACAUGGCCUUAUUCUUUCCCAGUGACCACACCUUUUAAUACAAUCACCCUGGGGGCUAGGUGUCAACAUUCAGUUUUAUGGACAUACAGACUCUAGGAAAGAGCAAAGAACAAACGAGGGUAUCCGUGUGUAAUGCAUCCUCUCUGUGCAGAGGUUUCUCAUUGCUUUAGGGAAAGGACAAGAGUCACUUUCCUACACUGGUGGUAUACAGAAGCCAAGGGCAAAUACCGGGUCAGGUUCUAGAGUAAAUACUCUGGACAAAGCCAUCGGACUGUGUUGUAAAAUGUUGCAGAAUUUGGUGAUGUAGGCAGUUUGAAGUGGGGACAGAUCAGUGCUCUAGGUAGCUGGGCAGAUGAAGUUAAAUACCAGCAGGUUCCAGCAGGCACAAGACAAUGGUUCAAUUUAUCAGCAACAGACUUUGCCUGAGGCUGGGCUUCUAUGUAUGCUUGAAAGUAUGCUGCUGAGGCAAGCAGAGCACACACAAAAAAGGGUAGGAACAGAAUGGACAUAUGGUAGAUUCUUGUAAAAACGAAAUAAGGCUGUUAGACAAAUUAUCUUCUUGCAUAACAAUUCCCCUUUCCUCUUCUCCCACCCCCUAGACAUAAAGUUAAUGUUACGUUUCCAUUCCUACAGAGAAACUUACUGGCUAAGUCUCACUAACAAAAUAAGUCUAGAAAGAAAACAUAUAGGACUAGAAAGAAUCUUUGGGAUUACCUGCAUUAACAUCUCAAUUUAUAGGAGAAAACUACAAGACCCGGUGACAGAGGUACCCCGCUCUCCUCUUUGACUGAGAAGUAGUUCUGAGAAAACAUCUGUAUUCUCAUCAGUACAUUAUCUCUUGGGGCAGGUUCUUGCUGUUUCUUUCUAGGGAAGGAUGGUAUGAAACAGAGCCUAUCUAAUGGACAAGGAAUCAUAACUGAGUCCCAAUCCCAACUGUUCUCACUGUGUAGAUCCUGGACAACUCACUACUUGGAAAACGUGUAAUAUUUAGGGUGGUUAUAAGGAUGCAAUCAGUUCAGGUUAAAAACAAUGCUCCAUUAAAAUAACUUGCUCAAGAAAUUUCAAUUAUGAUGGUACCGACCAAAAAAAUUUAAACAGAUAAUUAAGGAAUGGAGUGGAGAAUAUGUCCAAAAAAAGAAUACAUCACAAACAAGUUGGACUCAUUGAAGGUAUGCAAGAAAAGCCAGCUCAAUAUCAAGAAAGAUCACGGCCCAUUAUAGCAACAGAUUAGCGGGCAAGAAAGAUUGUAUCAGUAGAUGUUAUUAUAAUCAGCAUUUUGUAAAUGAGGUACUCUCUUAAAAUAUUUCUUUCCUUGGGCCUGGCACAUAGUAAGUGGUCAAGUGGUAGUAGCUGUUAGUAACCAGGCACUAUGACCGGUCUGCACCGGUAGGCUACUCAAAGACUGAAGGUAGAGGUUACCGCUUGGACUGUUUGCUAGGCUGGAUUUCCAAACAAAGCUGAUCAAUUGGACAGUGUGGAGGAAAUAAAUGUUCUAAUGUUCUGACUUUAUAUGUUCAUCCCACCUCAUUUCUCAGGCUCAAUAUUGUUUUUAACUUUGUUAAGACAAUAGUUCUGCAUCUAUGAAAUGGGACUGAGGCUUACGAGGAGCUGGCAAAGCAGCCAUUGUGCCAGCUCUGGGCCAAUUUUCCACACAGCAAUUAUUUAAAUGUGUUCAGGUCCCCUGGUAGGAACCUCCGUUUUGUUUCACUUUGUCCAGGUGCCAGCAGGAAUGCCUCCAUGGCAGAUCUCUGGUUCCGCAGAGAUCUAUGGAUCUCUGGUCCAUAGUAACUCUAGUCGUGAUCCAAUACCCUGGAAUUAUUAUGAAAGGCAAGCCCAAGGGGAAAGGAAUUCAUGGCCACUUUGCAGAGAGACUCUUGUAGGAAAGAGGAAAUGGGGGCUCUCUUGAGCAUGGGCAUCAUGACACUGGCCAGGUAAGACUUCUCUUUGGGCUAGUGUGGUAGAAAAGACUUAGGGAUCCCUCCCCACGUCCCCUCUGCAAACAUAUACCCUCAGCAUGUUCUAAAGGAUUUUUAUUUGCUAUUCAUGUUUUGUUUGAUAUGACUUCAAGUUCUUACACAAGCAGCAUGAAUUGUCCACAACAUCUCCUUAUUUUGUUCUGUAGAGAUAAACCCAACUUUCCCCCUUCCUGGGACAUUACAGCAUAACCCACAUGACAAUUUAGUAAAGCCCAGUUACAAUCACGUCUCAUCCAGCUACCUCCAAGGUGGAAGAGCUCCUUGGGACUUCGCAGUUAUAACGUCCACGUGUUUUUCUCUUCUUUUUAAAUAUAACAUUCCGGUCCUGUACAGAGGCACCAAUUAUGUUUAUUUUCACUGAGAUAGCUCAUGCCUGUAAUUUCAAUCAAGU